GUAUUCCUUAAGGAUAUUUCCAGAAGUACUUGUAUUUACGAUACUCGAUAGGCACGCGCGACUGCACGAACAAGAUUUCCACCAAAAAACAAAAAGUGACCCAGAAGACCUAAUUAUUGUUCCUCUUCUCUCUUUUUUUCACACCAAUCCUCUGCUAUGCUCCAUUUCAAAAACUCUUUUUCUUUUAAAGGGGCAACUUCACUGCUUAGUUGCAGCGUCCAAUAAUCAGGUUUUAAUUAGUUGGUCUUAAUGUUCUGUGGAAUUUUCUUGAUCAGGGCUGUCAUGCUUCGGUCCCUUUGGAUGACAGCAAUGGUUAUAAAAAUCAUUCCAUACCCAAUCAUACCUUGAAAAGGCUUGGCCAGGGUGUACUUUCAUGUGCUGAUAUUGUUUCUAUUGCCACCAGAGAUGGGAUUAUGCUGCUAACGGUUUUAGCAACAGCUUAAGGUUUAGGAUUUGAUGAUUGAUUGUGGAUAAUGAUGCUUAAAUGAAACUUGGGGAAAAUGCUGGUGGCCCUUUCUAUCUCUUUAACAGGACGGAGGGAGAGCAUUCAUUCAUAUUUCAAAGCACUGGCCGACAUUCCACAACCAGAUGAGAAAAAUGCCAAGUCAGCUUAUGGAUUUGAGAUUGUUCAAAUGGUUCUUGUGGACACUGAACAUGAUGAACAUGUGAAGAGGACUAUGAGUGAGAUAAAUGCGAUUGCAAGAAUGAAGGUGGUGGCUAACGAGAAGGCUGAAGCAGAAAAAAUUCUGCAAAUAAAACAUGCCAAGGGAGACUGAGCAUGGUAAGCAUGCCAGCAUCAGACCAUUGAAGUUGGGCUGAGGGACAGUGUGCUUGCUUUCUCUGUGAAUGUACCCGGGACUAUGUCAAGGGAUGUCAUGGACAUGGUUCUGGUGACUCAAUAUUUAGACACAAUGAAAGAAAUUGGCGCAUUGUCAUCACAUACGGACCAAGUGCUGUGAAAGACAUUGCUUCACAGAUUAGAGAUGGCCUCCUUCAAGCAAAUACCACUCAAAAUUAGUGACUUUGUCCCAACAUAUAUGUUGCACGAGUGGCUUUUCUAAUGGUGUAUGAAAUGAUUGGUGCUAGUAUCUAAGAGUUGUCUUUUAUUCUUCUUUUACUUUCCAAAUUAUUUACUUGAGUGAAGAUAGGAGCUAGGGAUUGUCUUGCAAGUUGCAACUUAGUGGUGUGGUGUGUAUUCAUGGUGUUGAACUUGGCCAUAGUAUUCGCAAUAUUCUUUUAUAGGAUGAGAUGGUACUGAUUUGGGUAAUUUUGUGGAAUCCUCUGUUGUUAUAUGAUAUUUUGUAACUGUUGUCUGUAUUUUGUGAAUGGUUCCCUUCGGUAGGUUUGCUUUGGGAACAGACCAAAACUUGCAGUGGUUGUGGUUUUUGAGAACAGACCACUGGACGAUAAUGGCACAAGCCAUGGAAGUAGUGAAAUUCAUCUGUAUCUUAUCAAGCCA
RNA transcript from Quercus lobata, 1459 nucleotides. It is a transcript of the gene named hypersensitive-induced response protein 1-like, with no coding region annotated. The transcript is spliced from 6 exons. The record is from RefSeq and is a predicted model, not a curated record. Lineage: Eukaryota; Viridiplantae; Streptophyta; Magnoliopsida; Fagales; Fagaceae.